Long non-coding RNA from Acromyrmex echinatior (Panamanian leafcutter ant), 1013 nucleotides. RefSeq lists it as uncharacterized. The record is from RefSeq and is a predicted model, not a curated record. Lineage: Eukaryota; Metazoa; Arthropoda; Insecta; Hymenoptera; Formicidae.
UUCACGCGGCAAGGCCGCAGAAGCACGGCAAGUCGCCGUGGGAUCGUAAGGGCGCGUUUACGCGUGUAAGUGCCCCUACGUACGUGCACGCGUGUAUGCGUGUGCACGCGUACGCGUACGCAGUCGCAUAUGCAGCCGUUGUAAAAUGCCGCACGUAGGUAGACGUCUCAGUGUCUCCCAACUCAACUUCAAAUGAACCGAUGAACGUCUGACUAGGUAUAGAUCUUUCCCGCCGACAUCGACAGUCGCGUUUUCAGAUCGAAGCCUCUUACUUUCAUACCGAUGUACCCUAUUUGUCCGUGCCUGGCACCUGGUGAACCGAUUACGCAGAUCGGAUUGUACGGUCAUAUGAUGGAAGCGGCUCCGGUGCACGUGCUCGGAAACCCGACCGGGAAUCGGAACAUUGCCGUUUCUCCAAACUAUGCUACAUCUUUUAACUAUAUCGACAUGGUAUGCCUCGAUUCGAUCAGCACUCGUUGCAUUGAUAUUUUGAUGUUCAGCAAAUCUUACGGAAUUGAGAAUGAAUUGAUAUCGCGUAGAAUAUGCUGUUAAUGCAAGGAGAAUUUCAGAUGUUUAAUUAAUCCUUGAAAUUAUAAUUAUUUAUAUAUUGUAAUACAUUAUUAUUAUGGAGAAAAACGAGCUAGAGCGAGAGUGAGAGAGAGAGAGAGAGAAAAAGAGAGAGAUUGAAUUGUCAUUUAUUUGACACUUCAGAGACACUCUGAGACACUGUCCUCUCAAGCGCUUGUCCAAAUAUAUUAUAUGUAAUAGAAUACACAUUGUAAGAACUGACAGAUAUAAUAUAAUCUCACAAAAUGUAUAUUCUUUAAAAUAAAGAUUAAGAAGAAAGUAAAAUGUAGCAAGCGAGGAUUUCAAGAAUACGCAAAUUGAGAAUUGCAUUCAAGAAAAGAAAAAUUUAUUUAAGGAUCAUUCUUGCUCAAUACAAAUUAGUUAACAAAUUUUUUCCAUUAAGAAAUAAAGUAUAUCUAUCCAGUAUACUAACCAGUAAACCAAGA